CCUACGGGAGGCAGCAGUGGGGAAUAUUGGGCAAUGGGCGCAAGCCUGACCCAGCAACGCCGCGUGAAGGAAGAAGGCUUUCGGGUUGUAAACUUCUUUUGUCAGGGACGAAGCAAGUGACGGUACCUGACGAAUAAGCCACGGCUAACUACGGGCCAGCAGCCGCGGUAAUACGUAGGUGGCAAGCGUUAUCCGGAUUUACUGGGUGUAAAGGGCGUGUAGGCGGGACGGCAAGUCAGAUGUGAAAACCACGGGCUCAACCUGUGGCCUGCAUUUGAAACUGUAGUUCUUGAGUACUGGAGCUGCAGCCGGACUUCCUAGUGUAGCGGUGAAAUGCGUAGAUAUUAGGAGGAACACCAGUGGCGAAGGCGGUCUGCUGGACAGCAACUGACGCUGAGGCGCGAAAGCGUGGGGAGCAAACAGGAUUAGAUACCCUGGUAGUC
RNAcentral lists this ribosomal RNA (443 nucleotides) under uncultured bacterium. Its description in RNAcentral is "partial 16S ribosomal RNA". It matches the Rfam family "Bacterial small subunit ribosomal RNA", at positions 338 to 795 of the family's 1533-position model. The record is from RNAcentral.